GGCGCUAUAGCCAAGUGGUUACGGCGACAGAUUAGAAUUUGGGUUUCGCUUUGUGUGUUGCGUUUAUAUCAUCUGUUCCUCUUUGAGGGCGCAGGUUCGAGUCCUGCUGGCGUCG
Coprinopsis marcescibilis is the source of this 115-nucleotide non-coding RNA. The record is from the annotation of a GenBank genome assembly. NCBI's taxonomy places the organism in Eukaryota, Fungi, Basidiomycota, Agaricomycetes, Agaricales, Psathyrellaceae.